RNAcentral lists this ribosomal RNA (468 nucleotides) under uncultured bacterium. RNAcentral describes it as "partial 16S ribosomal RNA". It matches the Rfam family "Bacterial small subunit ribosomal RNA", at positions 28 to 507 of the family's 1533-position model. The record is from RNAcentral.
GACGAACGCUGGCGGCGUGCUUAACACAUGCAAGUCGAACGGAAAGGCCCUGCGUUUGUGGGGUGCUCGAGUGGCGAACGGGUGAGUAACACGUGAGUAACCUGCCCUUGACUUUGGGAUAACUUCAGGAAACUGGGGCGAAUACCGGAUAGGAGCUCCUGCUGCAUGGUGGGGGUUGGAAAGUUUCGGCGGUUGGGGAUGGACUCGCGGCUUAUCAGCUUGUUGGUGGGGUAGUGGCUUACCAAGGCUUUGACGGGUAGCCGGCCUGAGAGGGUGACCGGCCACAUUGGGACUGAGAUACGGCCCAGACUCCUACGGGAGGCAGCAGUGGGGAAUAUUGCACAAUGGGCGGAAGCCUGAUGCAGCAACGCCGCGUGCGGGAUGACGGCCUUCGGGUUGUAAACCGCUUUCGCCUGUGACGAAGCGUGAGUGACGGUAAUGGGUAAAGAAGCACCGGCUAACUACGUG